AACGCGAAGAACCUUACCAGCCCUUGACAUGUCUCGUAUGGUUACCGGAGAUGGUUUCCUUCAGUUCGGCUGGCGAGAACACAGGUGCUGCAUGGCUGUCGUCAGCUCGUGUCGUGAGAUGUUGGGUUAAGUCCCGCAACGAGCGCAACCCUCGCCCUUAGUUGCCAUCAUUUAGUUGGGCACUCUAGGGGGACUACCGGUGAUAAGCCGAGAGGAAGGUGGGGAUGACGUCAAGUCCUCAUGGCCCUUACGGGCUGGGCUACACACGUGCUACAAUGGCGGUGACAGUGGGAUGCGGAGGGGCAACCCCGAGCAAAUCUCCAAAAGCCGUCUCAGUUCAGAUUGCACUCUGCAACUCGAGUGCAUGAAGGCGGAAUCGCUAGUAAUCGUAGAUCAGAACGCUACGGUGAAUACGUUCCCGGGCCUUGUACACACCGCGUGUCU
RNAcentral lists this ribosomal RNA (444 nucleotides) under uncultured bacterium. RNAcentral describes it as "bacterial SSU rRNA". It matches the Rfam family "Bacterial small subunit ribosomal RNA", at positions 958 to 1399 of the family's 1533-position model. The record is from RNAcentral.